UUACGGUCAAAUCACGCUGAAAACACCGGUUCUCGUUCGAUCACCGAAGUUAAGCAUCAGUACUUAGAUGGGGGACCGCUUUGGAACACCUGGUACUGUAAG
Molecule: non-coding RNA, 102 nt
Organism: Acanthosepion pharaonis
Lineage: Eukaryota; Metazoa; Mollusca; Cephalopoda; Sepiida; Sepiidae
Source: the annotation of a GenBank genome assembly